Molecule: ribosomal RNA, 513 nt
Filed under: uncultured bacterium
Lineage: Bacteria
Description: bacterial SSU rRNA
Rfam family: Bacterial small subunit ribosomal RNA
Source: RNAcentral
CAGAACGAACGCUGGCGGCGUGCUAGCACAUGCAAGUCGAACGCGAAAGGGACUUCGGUCCCGAGUAAAGUGGCGCACGGGUGAGUAACGCGUAGAUAACCUGUCUUCGUGUCUGGAAUAAUACACCGAAAGGGGUACUAAUACCGGAUAAUCUUGCUUUUCAUAAGUUUUGCAAGCAAAGGUGGCCUCUGACUUAAGCUACUGCAUGAAGAGGGGUCUGCGUACCAUUAGCUAGUAGGUGGGGUAAAGGCCUACCUAGGCAACGAUGGUUAGCGGGUCUGAGAGGAUGAUCCGCCACACUGGCACUGGAACACGGGCCAGACUCCUACGGGAGGCAGCAGUGAGGAAUAUUGCGCAAUGGGGGCAACCCUGACGCAGCGACGCCGCGUGAGUGAGGAAGGCCUUCGGGUCGUAAAGCUCUGUCAAAGGGAAAGAAGUGUAUAAUGGCUAAUACCUGUUAUAUUUGACGGUACCCUUAAAGGAAGCACCGGCUAACUCCGUGCCAGCCGCCGC